Non-coding RNA from Megalopta genalis, 104 nucleotides. NCBI's taxonomy places the organism in Eukaryota, Metazoa, Arthropoda, Insecta, Hymenoptera, Halictidae. The record is from RefSeq and is a predicted model, not a curated record.
UUGAGGCUCGACUCCUCUGAAAUUUCAACGAUACAGCGAAGAUUAGCACGGCUGCUGCGCCAGAUCGACACGCUAAAUCGUGAAGCAUUCGGACACUUAUAUUU